AAGUCGUAACAAGGUUUCCGUAGGUGAACCUGCGGAAGGAUCAUUACCUAGAGUUUGCGGGCUUUGCCUGCUAUCUCUUACCCAUGUCUUUUGAGUACUUACGUUUCCUCGGUGGGUUCGCCCGCCGAUUGGACAAUUUAAACCCUUUGCAGUUGCAAUCAGCGUCUGAAAAAAAUUAAUAAUUACAACUUUCAACAACGGAUCUCUUGGUUCUGGCAUCGAUGAAGAACGCAGCGAAAUGCGAUAAGUAAUGUGAAUUGCAGAAUUCAGUGAAUCAUCGAAUCUUUGAACGCACAUUGCGCCCCUUGGUAUUCCAUGGGGCAUGCCUGUUCGAGCGUCAUUUGUACCUUCAAGCUCUGCUUGGUGUUGGGUGUUUGUCUCGCCUUUGCGUGUAGACUCGCCUCAAAACAAUUGGCAGCCGGCGUAUUGAUUUCGGAGCGCAGUACAUCUCGCGCUUUGCACUCAUAACGACGACGUCCAAAAGUACAUUUUUACACUCUUGACCUCGGAUCAGGUAGGGAUGCCCGCUGAACUUAA
This 537-nucleotide ribosomal RNA is filed under the name uncultured fungus. Its description in RNAcentral is "eukaryotic LSU rRNA". The stretch from base 187 to 340 matches the Rfam family "5.8S ribosomal RNA". Lineage: Eukaryota; Fungi. The record is from RNAcentral.